AUGAACAUGGGGUUUGAACGAGAUCAUUUCUACAGGGAUGUGCUACUUCAGUACGCGUCAAGAACCAAGAUAAUAAAAGAUUGUAUCAUGGGAGCCCUGGCAAAUCUUCUAGAGCUCGAUGAGGAUUACUUCAUCAAUAGGACCACAACCAGGGCCCGAGCAUUAGCUAGGCUAGGCUACUACCCUCCAUGUCCGAGGCCUGACCUUGUUUCGGGCUUCAAGCCUCACUAUGAUGGUGGCGCCCUUUCAAUCCUUUUCGUCGAGGAGAACGUCGGUGGCUUGCAAGUUCUGAGAAAUGGAAAAUGGUACAAUAUUCUAGCCAAGCCUUAUACAUUGUUGAUCAACAUAGCAGAGUGCAUUGAGAGCCCACCACAUAGGGUCUUGACAAAUGCAGAGAAGGAAAGGACCUCAGUAGCUAUAUUCUAUGGCGUGGAUGUGGAAACGGUGGUUGAACCAGCACCUGGUUUGUUGGAUGAGAAGCGACUGGCAAGAUUCAAGAAAAUAAAGGCCGAGGAUUACUAUGGUACUGUCUUUGGGCAUUUCCGCCAAGGAAAAAGGCUUAUCAACACCCUGAUAAUUUAA
Molecule: ribosomal RNA, 582 nt
Filed under: Triticum aestivum (bread wheat)
Lineage: Eukaryota; Viridiplantae; Streptophyta; Magnoliopsida; Poales; Poaceae
Description: partial small subunit ribosomal RNA
Source: RNAcentral